Molecule: unclassified non-coding RNA, 378 nt
Filed under: plant metagenome
Description: partial contains 5.8S ribosomal RNA, internal transcribed spacer 2, and large subunit ribosomal RNA
Rfam family: 5.8S ribosomal RNA (bases 1-105)
Source: RNAcentral
GAAAUGCGAUAAGUAAUGUGAAUUGCAGAAUUCAGUGAAUCAUCGAAUCUUUGAACGCACCUUGCACUCCUUGGUAUUCCUUGGAGCAUGCCUGUUUGAGUAUCAUGAAAUCUUCAAAGUAAAUCUUUUGUUAACUCAAUUGGUUUCUACUUUGGUAUUGGAGGUCUUUGCAGCUUCACACCUGCUCCUCUUUGUUCAUUAGCUGGAUCUCAGUGUUAUGCUUGGUUCCACUCGGCGUGAUAAGUUAUCUAUCGCUGAGGACACUGUAAAAGGUGGCCAAGGUAAAUGCAGAUGAACCGCUUCUAAUAGUCCAUUGACUUGGACAAUACUUUUAUGAUCUGAUCUCAAAUCAGGUAGGACUACCCGCUGAACUUAAGC